Molecule: ribosomal RNA, 576 nt
Filed under: uncultured bacterium
Lineage: Bacteria
Description: bacterial SSU rRNA
Rfam family: Bacterial small subunit ribosomal RNA
Source: RNAcentral
CCUACGGGAGGCAGCAGUGAGGAAUAUUGGACAAUGGGCGCAAGCCUGAUCCAGCCAUGCCGCGUGCAGGAUGACGGUCCUAUGGAUUGUAAACUGCUUUUGUACAGGAAGAAACACUGGUUCGUGAACCAGCUUGACGGUACUGUAAGAAUAAGGAUCGGCUAACUCCGUGCCAGCAGCCGCGGUAAUACGGAGGAUCCAAGCGUUAUCCGGAAUCAUUGGGUUUAAAGGGUCCGUAGGCGGUUUGGUAAGUCAGUGGUGAAAGCCCAUCGCUCAACGGUGGAACGGCCAUUGAUACUGCCAGACUUGAAUUAUUAGGAAGUAACUAGAAUAUGUAGUGUAGCGGUGAAAUGCUUAGAGAUUACAUGGAAUACCAAUUGCGAAGGCAGGUUACUACUAAUUGAUUGACGCUGAUGGACGAAAGCGUGGGUAGCGAACAGGAUUAGAUACCCUGGUAGUCCACGCCGUAAACGAUGGAUACUAGCUGUUGGAAGCAAUUUCAGUGGCUAAGCGAAAGUGAUAAGUAUCCCACCUGGGGAGUACGUUCGCAAGAAUGAAACUCAAAUGAAUUGACGG